Molecule: ribosomal RNA, 1210 nt
Filed under: metagenome
Description: bacterial LSU rRNA
Rfam family: Bacterial large subunit ribosomal RNA
Source: RNAcentral
GUCAUACUUCCAAGAAAAGCUUGCACUGUCAUAAAUAAGAAAUGCCUGUACCACAACCGACACAGGUGGGUAGGUAGAGUAUACUAAGGGGCGCGAGAUAACUCUCUCUAAGGAACUCGGCAAAAUAACUCCGUAACUUCGGGAGAAGGAGUGCCUUAUUCUUAAGGUUGCAAUAACAAGAUCCAAGCAACUGUUUAUCAAAAACACAGGUCUCCGCUAAGUCGUAAGACGAUGUAUGGGGGCUGACGCCUGCCCAGUGCCAGAAGGUUAAAGAAGUUGGUUAGCAAUUGCGAAGCUGGUAACUGAAGCCCUGGUGAACGGCGGCCGUAACGAUAACGGUCCUAAGGUAGCGAAAUUCCUUGUCGGGUAAGUUCCGACCCUCACGAAAGGCGUAAUGAUUUGGAUACUGUCUCGGAGAGGGGCUCGGUGAAAUAGACUUGUCUGUGAAGAUGCGGACUACCUGCACCAGGACAGAAAGACCCUAUGAAGCUUUACUGUAACUUGAAAUUGAAAUUGGACUUUAUUCGCGCAGUAUAGGUGGGAGGCGUUGAUUAUAAUCUUGUGGGAUUAUUGGAGCCAUCAGUGAGAUACCACUCUUGUAAUGUUAGAUUUCUAACUUUGAAUCAUUAUCUGGUCAAAGGACAGUUUCAGGCGGGCAGUUUGACUGGGGCGGUCGCCUCCUAAACGGUAACGGAGGCGUACAAAGGUUUCCUCUGAACGGUUAGAAAUCGUAUCUAGAGUGUAAAGGCAUAAGGAAGCUUGACUGUGAGACCUACAAGUCGAGCAGGGACGAAAGUCGGUCUUAGUGAUCUGACGGCACUGAGUGGAAAGGCCGUCACUCAACGGAUAAAAGUUACUCUAAGGAUAACAGGCUGAUCUCCCCCAAGAGUUCACAUCGACGGGGAGGUUCGGCACCUCGAUGUCGGCUCAUCGCAUCCUGGGGCGGUAGUACGUCCCAAGGGUUGGGCUGUUCGCCCAUGAAAGCGGUACGCGAGCUGGGUUCGGAACGUCGUGAGACAGUUCGGUCCAUAUCCGGUGUAGGCGUUAGAAUAUUGAGAGGAGCCUUCUUUAGUACGAGAGGACCGAGAAGGACAUACCUCUGGUGUACCAGUUAUCGUGCCAACGGUAAACGCUGGGUAGCUAUGUAUGGAGUGGAUAACCGCUGAAAGCAUCUAAGUGGGAAGCCCACCUCAAGAUAAGUAUUCUCAUC